GCCUACGGGGCGCAGCAGUGGGGAAUAUUGCACAAUGGGGGGAACCCUGAUGCAGCGACGCCGCGUGGGUGAAGGAGCACCUCGGUGCGUAAAGCCCUAUCGGCAGGGAGGAAAAGCGAACAGGUUCGCCUUGACGGUACCUGCCUUAGAAACCCCGGCUAACUACGUGCCAGCAGCCGCGGGAAUACGUAGGGGGCAAGCGGUAUCCGGAUUCACUGGGUGGAAAGGGAGCGUAGACGG
RNAcentral lists this ribosomal RNA (240 nucleotides) under uncultured bacterium. Its description in RNAcentral is "partial 16S ribosomal RNA". It matches the Rfam family "Bacterial small subunit ribosomal RNA", at positions 337 to 578 of the family's 1533-position model. The record is from RNAcentral.